RNAcentral lists this ribosomal RNA (468 nucleotides) under uncultured bacterium. RNAcentral describes it as "partial 16S ribosomal RNA". It matches the Rfam family "Bacterial small subunit ribosomal RNA", at positions 28 to 507 of the family's 1533-position model. The record is from RNAcentral.
GACGAACGCUGGCGGCGUGCUUAACACAUGCAAGUCGAACGGAAAGGCCCUGCUUUUGUGGGGUGCUCGAGUGGCGAUCGGGUGAGUAACACGUGAGUAACCUGCCCUUGACUUUGGGAUAACUUCAGGAAACUGGGGCUAAUACCGGAUAGGAGCUCCUGCUGCAUGGUGGGGGUUGGAAAGUUUCGGCGGUUGGGGAUGGACUCGCGGCUUAUCGGCUUGUUGGUGGGGUAGUGGCUUACCAAGGCUUUGACGGGCAGCCGGCCUGAGAGGGUGACCGGCCACAUUGGGACUGAGAUACGGCCCAGACUCCUACGGGAGGCAGCAGUGGGGAAUAUUGCACAAUGGGCGGAAGCCUGAUGCAGCAACGCCGCGUGCGGGAUGACGGCCUUCGGGUUGUAAACCGCUUUCGCCUGUGACGAAGCGUGAGUGACGGUAAUGGGUAAAGAAGCACCGGCUAACUACGUG